Molecule: ribosomal RNA, 253 nt
Filed under: uncultured bacterium
Lineage: Bacteria
Description: partial 16S ribosomal RNA
Rfam family: Bacterial small subunit ribosomal RNA
Source: RNAcentral
UACGUAGGCAGCAAGCGUUGUUCGGAAUUACUGGGCGUAAAGGGUGUGUAGGCGGUGCUCCAAGUCUGGUGUGAAAUCUCCCGGCUUAACUGGGAGGGUGCGCCGGAAACUGGAGUGCUAGAGGGUGGGAGAGGUAAGCGGAAUUCCUGGUGUAGCGGUGAAAUGCGUAGAUAUCAGGAGGAACACCUGUGGUGUAGACAGCUUACUGGACCACUUCUGACGCUGAGACACGAAAGCGUGGGUAGCAAACAGG